RNAcentral lists this ribosomal RNA (442 nucleotides) under uncultured bacterium. RNAcentral's name for it is "partial 16S ribosomal RNA". It matches the Rfam family "Bacterial small subunit ribosomal RNA", at positions 338 to 795 of the family's 1533-position model. The record is from RNAcentral.
CCUACGGGAGGCUGCAGUAGGGAAUCUUUCAUAAUGGGCGAAAGCCUGAUGGAGCAACGCCGCGUGCAGGAUGAAGGCCUUCGGGUUGUAAACUGCUUUUAUAAGCGAGAAAUAUGAUGGUAACUUAUGAAUAAGGAUCGGCUAACUACGUGCCAGCAGCCGCGGUCAUACGUAGGAUCCGAGCAUUAUCCGGGGUGACUGGGUGUAAAGAGUUGCGUAGGUGGCAUAAUAAGUAGCUAGUGAAAUCUGGUGGCUCAACCAUUCAGACUAUUAGCUAAACUGUUAAGCUCGAGACCGUUAGGGGUAACUGGAAUUUCUAGUGUAGGAGUGAAAUCCGUAGAUAUUAGAAGGAACACCAAUAGCGUAGGCAGGUUGCUGGGACGGUUCUGACACUAAGGCACGAAAGCGUAGGGAGCAAACGGGAUUAGAUACCCCAGUAGUC